RNAcentral lists this ribosomal RNA (492 nucleotides) under uncultured bacterium. RNAcentral describes it as "partial 16S ribosomal RNA". It matches the Rfam family "Bacterial small subunit ribosomal RNA", at positions 29 to 507 of the family's 1533-position model. The record is from RNAcentral.
AGUGAACGCUGGCGGUGGGCCUAACACAUGCAAGUCGAACGGCAGCACAGUAAGAGCUUGCUCUUACGGGUGGCGAGAGGCGGACGGGUGACGAAUACAUCGGAAUCUAGUUUUUCGUGGGGGAUAACGUAGGGAAACUUACGCUAAUACCGCAUACGACCUAGGGGUGAAAGCAGUGGAUCUUCGGACCUUGCGCGAUUGAAUGAGCCGAUGUCGGAUUAGCUAGUUGGGGGGGUAAAGGCCCACCAAGGCGACGAUACGUAGCCGGUCUGAGAGGAUGAUCGGCCACACUGGAACUGAGACACGGUCCAGACUCCUACGGGAGGCAGCAGUGGGGAAUAUUGGACAAUGGGCGCAAGCCUGAUCCAGCCAUGCCGCGUGGGUGAAGAAGGCCUUCGGGUUGUAAAGCCCUUUUGUUGGGAAAGAAAAGCAGCAGGUUAAUACCCCGCUGUUCUGACGGUACCCAAAGAAUAAGCACCGGCUAACUUCGUG